CAAUCUUUCUCAAAGAAUAUCAUACGGAUUCUUCUCUACUUUGAUCCGUUGUUAUGUGAUUUGUCGCAAUUGACGUAUGUUAGAGGAUUGUCAAGAGAAUUGACUCAGGUAUGUUAAGGCUAUCUCCUCUUUCUUUUGGCAUGAUCCAUACGAUAUAAACAAAACGAGCAAAUGCACAAUUUCCAUACAUGACUCUAUUCAUAGAAAUACUAAAGAUGCCUAUGUUCUUGAUUUCCCAUGUGUCAUAUUAUUCUAUCAUCUGUUCAUGCGUCUUAAAAUACGUAAGUUGAUAAAGUUUAUUUCAUGAUAUUAAUCGGAGGUAUAAUGGUCUUAUGACACUCCAAAAGAUUUUAUUGACGUACUUCUCAUGCAUUGCAUUCAUGUACAUUGACCCAUGACCAAAUGACAUUAUAUACACGUAUAUAUGUAUGUAGAUGGGAUGUGGAAAAAGGUUACGCCGUUAUAUACGCACCACCACCUUUCAGCUGGUAUACGUUGAUGAUUUUGACCACAGUGGCCGAGAUGAUAUGAUGGGAUGCCCCAGAGGCCUGAUGGUGUUGUGAAACAUGUACCUUUGCACGACAUAAGAUUCGUACGCAUAUGCAUUAUACUAUAAUUAUUUCAUGAUUUAUAGAGUUAUCCACACUUACAGGUGAUAAUAGGCUAAAUUGUUUAAUAUAGCCUACGUUUUAGCUCAACUUAAGGAUGGUUUACUAUUGUAAAUGUUCAAAUAAUGCAAAAAUUGGCUCUAAUCAUGACUUUAAUGUCUCGCAGGAGUUCAAUAAACAAAUAAGGAUUUAUGAUGGUAAUCAAGUGAAAAAUGGAGUCAAAUGACGAAAAGUUGAGCAGCAACAUCUUAACAAGAGAAAACCCCACUACCGCGGGUCAUGCGCUCCCACGCUAGUUCAGUGAUUUGGAUAGAAAGAAACUCGAUAUGCGCGGGAUGUGCGCUGGUCAUGCGCUCCCACGCUAGUCCUGUCCGGAAAAGCAAUUAUUG
This 997-nucleotide long non-coding RNA is filed under the name Nicotiana tabacum (common tobacco). Its description in RNAcentral is "long non-coding RNA (NTAB_LNC008552)". Lineage: Eukaryota; Viridiplantae; Streptophyta; Magnoliopsida; Solanales; Solanaceae. The record is from RNAcentral.